RNAcentral lists this ribosomal RNA (527 nucleotides) under uncultured bacterium. Its description in RNAcentral is "bacterial SSU rRNA". It matches the Rfam family "Bacterial small subunit ribosomal RNA", at positions 791 to 1315 of the family's 1533-position model. The record is from RNAcentral.
UAGUCCACGCCCUAAACGAUGUCAACUAGACGUUGGGUUCAUUAAGGAACUUAGUGUCGAAGCUAACGCGUUAAGUUCACCGCCUGGGGAGUACGGUCGCAAGAUUAAAACUCAAAGAAAUUGACGGGGGCCCGCACAAGCGGUGGAGCAUGUGGUUUAAUUCGACGCAACGCGCAGAACCUUACCAGCCCUUGACAUGCUAGUUGCGGUUCCGGGAGACCGGUUCCUUCCUUCGGGAGACUAGUACAGGUGCUGCAUGGCUGUCGUCAGCUCGUGUCGUGAGAUGUUGGGUUAAGUCCCGCAACGAGCGCAACCCUUGCCUUUAGUUGCCAUCGGGUUUGGCCGGGCACUCUAAAGGAACUGCCGGUGACAAGCCGGAGGAAGGUGGGGAUGACGUCAAAUCAUCAUGGCCUUUAUGCCUAGGGCUACACACGUGCUACAAUGGCAGGUACAGAGGGUUGCGAAGGGGUGACCUGGAGCUAAUCUCAGAAAGCCUGUCCCAGUUCGGAUUGGAGUCUGCAACUCGA